This 2662-nucleotide long non-coding RNA is filed under the name Acanthaster planci (crown-of-thorns starfish). RNAcentral describes it as "uncharacterized LOC110973233". Lineage: Eukaryota; Metazoa; Echinodermata; Asteroidea; Valvatida; Acanthasteridae. The record is from RNAcentral.
ACAAGAAACCCGUGUCGAGAAUAGGCCGCCUGAACUCGACUUGAAUGUCGAGUGUGCCCUGCCACUGGCGCCACCUAGAGAUGCCUGGCAUGCUUGACCCCUGACCUGUGUAUUUCAUGUUGUCAUGAAAAGCUGGUCAUAUUAAAGUGUUCUCAAAAUAAAAAGCCUGUCUCCGCCUGCGUUGUCACGAAACACUGACCUAAUGUGCACCCGUAUAUAGGCCUACCAACAACUCCGUAAUUGCCGGCGUCACGAUCUAAUCUGGGAUGGAGGCCGUGCUGAGGUCGAUGGAUAAAUACGAAAUCAUCCCCCAUAUGUGGCAAGCAAUCUACGCCCAUGACGCCCAUGAGUCAUUAUUUGUUUUAAUAAGGUGGACAUCAAUCCACGGGGACUCCGGGGACUUCGCUGUCCGGCGUUGAGUGGCCAAAAUUCAACUCGAAUGAUCUUAGGUACAUGUCACUUACCGAUUGUCCUCAAGCCUUCUCCGGCAACGACAACAACUGGCAACAUCUCCUCCGGUUCUGGGCAAGUUACCUACCGACCAUCACGUCACCCGUUCCUCCACCUCCUGAGGUGACCCCCUGCCCGCCGGAUGAAGAGCCUUGCGUGGUCGGUGAAGGUAUCGGGUUAAAACUAUCCUCAGAGCAGGCUAGUACCGUCAUCGAAGCUCUGAUUGGAGCAGUCAUAGGUGCUUUGGUGUUGUCUGUCUUCUUUUUUGGGGGUUGUAUGGCAUACAGGGCUCGGGCAAAGCGGAUUGAGGUGCAAAGUCAGAAAGGCAAGGGGAAAGGCCUGGCACAUUACUUGGAUGAUGCAGAGAGAGAGGAAUUUAGCUCUAGGCUUUGAAGCUAAACCAUCAAAACGUCCAGAUAUGCAGUACACGUAUGUCCGAAUGAAAACGUCGAUUCAAAGGUUGUCAAAUUAAUUAAAAACUGUUGAAAAUUAAAGGACAUCAAACAAGCUCUUCAACUUCCUUCAACCGGAUUAAGGUAACAUGGGCGUCCUUCCUGAGCAAGUAUUACGGGCACAUUAUUCCUUGCAGUUAGUCCUUGUUAGUAAGUUACCAUAGUUACCAUAUACAUGUACUGGAGAACAGAAAUGUUGGUCUAGCUAAAUGUUAAUAAGUUUGAAUUUACUGAGUAGACUAAUUUAGGUUAAGUAGACUAACCUGAUAGCUUAUAACCUAUAUUUUAACCAAGACAUGUAGAAUUGACAAAGUGACUCUACAACCAAAUGUAUAACAGGAAAAUGUGUAUGCACAAAAGAUACUCAGGGUUUGGAUUCUGUUUCUAAAGGAAGCAGCUUCUCAAACGAGAAACGAUUUAUUCAUGGACAUUUAAGAACAAACAACUGGAUGGAACGUACCUUUAACAGACGUAUUCUGCAGGGGCACAGCUAUUUUGUCACAUAGUUUAAAAUGUUGUGCUCAUAAUUAUUCGACGUUAUGAAUUCAACACACUAAAUCCACUUACGUUGGUGAAAUAUGAUAUAACAAAAGUCUUUUCGUUGGCAUGUCCUUACACUCAACCCAGUGUGUCUCCACGUUGUCAUGAUUGUAUAGGACUAAUGGCGUUCGAUUGUCAUCUGGACCACAGGUGAGAGGGUACUCGUGUCCAGAGUAGCAGCUUUGCAGAGUAACAGAGCCGUGUGUAGAGAGAGUUGGGACAUAAGUUUAAGUGUUCACCAUUGUUGAAAACAAACUGACAGGCGUAUGUUCCAGUGCACAUGGACAGUUUGCGUACUAUAGCUGCUCGCUCUACUGUACACAUAAUGAUCAGACUUUUUUUAAAAUCUGAAACUGGUGCUACGUCUUUCUCUGCAUAUACAGCUCUGCAGGUAAGAUGCUUGCAGCUACCACUUUUGGGAAGAACUCCUGAUACGUGUACAUUUAGUUGAUACGAUACUUUUAAUUCAGGUUUACUCAGUCACCUUUGAAAUUUUAAUAUGGCAAAGUUAUUUAAUAGCGAGGAUCAAUAUUGUAUACAAAAAAGACCAGGUAUAUUUUCUUAAAAAUAUAUGCCAUUUAUCCUUAUAAAAAUAUAAUCAGUCAGUGCGUAAUUUUCUAUUUAAAGACGGGGAAAUAAUGCUGGAUACAGGUGAAUUAAUUCUGUCUGUGCCAGUUGAUGCGGUGUUCUGGAGGCUGUGAGUGUUAAACGAUGUAUGACUGGACGUAAUCCUCUUUCCUACUGCGAACAGCCUUCGCAGCUCCCACACUUCGCCGAUCUACGGCAGGACUCAGCUGUUGCAUCCUCUUCACGUCUCUCUGCUCCAAGAUCUUCUGUAUGAGCUCUCUUCAAGUCGGAAUCCCUAAUUUCUCCUGAUGAAGGACACGACACAAUGUUCGAUAGGCCUACGUUGAGUCCGCCAGCCUUCCUGUCAGAGACCCACCCAAUGACAAAAUAGACAUGGUGCCAUCGCAAACCUUUGUCUUCAUGUACUUGGAAUGCCUUCAACUCUUGUUAAUCUACGUCACAAAAUUUACCAACACUGAUUUGAGCUUUAUUGGAAGUACAAAACUCUUAGUAACAUCAUGUUAGAACAUGGAAGGUAACACUAAAUUAAUUACCUACAGUUUUGAGGCUAAAACCAGUCACUGCUUUUGCCAAGAUAAUACAAUUAUGCAAACGUAAUUUGAGCAGAGAGAAAACCCUUGACAUUAAUUCAA